RNAcentral lists this transfer RNA (74 nucleotides) under Candidatus Nanoarchaeia archaeon. RNAcentral's name for it is "tRNA-Ile". It matches the Rfam family "tRNA". From Rfam's summary of the family: Transfer RNA (tRNA) molecules are approximately 80 nucleotides in length. Their secondary structure includes four short double-helical elements and three loops (D, anti-codon, and T loops). The record is from RNAcentral. Lineage: Archaea; Nanobdellati; Nanobdellota; Candidatus Nanoarchaeia. RNAcentral also lists the same sequence under 1 other name.
GGGCCUGUAGCUUAGCCUGGUGGAGCAUCGGUCUUAUAAACCGAGGGUCGGGAGUUCAAAUCUCCCCAGGCCCA